Molecule: ribosomal RNA, 253 nt
Filed under: uncultured bacterium
Lineage: Bacteria
Description: partial 16S ribosomal RNA
Rfam family: Bacterial small subunit ribosomal RNA
Source: RNAcentral
GACAGAGGGUGCAAACGUUGUUCGGAAUUACUGGGCGUAAAGCGCAUGUAGGCGGCCAAGCAGGUCGGAUGUGAAAUCCCUCGGCUCAACCAAGGAAGUGCAUUCGAAACCGCAUGGCUCGAGUCCCGGAGAGGGAUGCGGAAUUCCAGGUGUAGCGGUGAAAUGCGUAGAUAUCUGGAGGAACACCGGUGGCGAAGGCGGCAUCCUGGACCGACACUGACGCUGAAAAGCGAAAGCCAGGGGAGCAAACGGG